AAUCUUAUAGUUUAGUUAAAACAUUAAAUUGCAAAUUUGAUAAAGAAUAAAGUUCUAAGAUUU
RNAcentral lists this transfer RNA (63 nucleotides) under Koreocerus koreanus. RNAcentral describes it as "tRNA-Cys". Lineage: Eukaryota; Metazoa; Arthropoda; Insecta; Hemiptera; Cicadellidae. The record is from RNAcentral.